AACGCUAGCUACAGGCUUAACACAUGCAAGUCGAGGGGCAGCAUGAACUUAGCUUGCUAAGUUUGAUGGCGACCGGCGCACGGGUGAGUAACACGUAUCCAACCUUCCGUUUACUCAGGGAUAGCCUUUCGAAAGAAAGAUUAAUACCUGAUAGUAUGGUGAGAUUGCAUGAUGGCACCAUUAAAGAUUUAUUGGUAAACGAUGGGGAUGCGUUCCAUUAGGUAGUAGGCGGGGUAACGGCCCACCUAGCCGACGAUGGAUAGGGGUUCUGAGAGGAAGGUCCCCCACAUUGGAACUGAGACACGGUCCAAACUCCUACGGGAGGCAGCAGUGAGGAAUAUUGGUCAAUGGGCGAGAGCCUGAACCAGCCAAGUAGCGUGAAGGAUGAAGGUCCUACGGAUUGUAAACUUCUUUUAUACGGGAAUAAAGUAUCCUACGUGUAGGAUUUUGUAUGUACCGUAUGAAUAAGCAUCGGCUAACUCCGUGCCAGCAGCCGCGGUAAUACGGAGGAUGCGAGCGUUAUCCGGAUUUAUUGGGUUUAAAGGGAGCGCAGACGGGAGAUUAAGUCAGUUGUGAAAGUUUGCGGCUCAACCGUAAAAUUGCAGUUGAUACUGGUUUUCUUGAGUGCAGUUGAGGCAGGCGGAAUUCGUGGUGUAGCGGUGAAAUGCUUAGAUAUCACGAAGAACUCCGAUUG
RNAcentral lists this ribosomal RNA (694 nucleotides) under uncultured bacterium. Its description in RNAcentral is "bacterial SSU rRNA". It matches the Rfam family "Bacterial small subunit ribosomal RNA", at positions 32 to 715 of the family's 1533-position model. The record is from RNAcentral.